RNAcentral lists this long non-coding RNA (886 nucleotides) under Polistes fuscatus (common paper wasp). Its description in RNAcentral is "uncharacterized LOC122525668". Lineage: Eukaryota; Metazoa; Arthropoda; Insecta; Hymenoptera; Vespidae. The record is from RNAcentral.
CUGAUGCUUGUUUGCUAGCAUAGAUUAAGUUUGUGCUAGCGCUUCGCUGUGGAAAAUGAUGAUAAUGUGACAGAUAUAUUGCGAAAGUGUCUUGAAGCUAUUUCAGAACAACUUAUCGAUUGAGGUAUAUCAUAAGAAAUAUUAACAAUCACAUUUACUACAACUUUAUCAUUAAAAUUUCGUUGUAUUGAUUUUUAUAGAGAAGAAAUCAUUUACUAUAAUUCAAGUGGUUUGGUGAUAGAAGAUGGUGGAUAUCUUAUAUCAGAUAAAGAUAAUUGUAUAGGAAUCUCUAAAAUUAAAUGAUCCUUUCUUGCAAAUCCAGAAAUUUAUCUGAGUCUUAUUCCUAGAAAUUGGAUUGAAAAUUACAAAUGGAUUAUUUGGAAACUAGUACCAUGGAUUUAAAUUUAAUUUUAUUUGCAUAUCUAGGUCAUGUUUAAGAAGGAUAUUGGAAAAAGAUGAUUGUGCAUCCAAACGAAUGGUUUUAUGUGUAUCAUCUAUUACUGAGUCCAGAGAUGACAAAAAUAAAGAAUCUAGUACAAUAGUAUCAAACAUAAAUUAUUGGAAAAUAAUAUUAACAGAUGGAUGGUAUAGCAUUCCUGCUUUUAUUGAUACAACCAUGAUGAGUUACGUAACAUCUGGAAAAAUACGCGAAGGUACAAAAUUAAUGAUAUUUGGAGCAGAGUUGUUGAAUCUUGAUCAGGCUCUCCUUUAGAAGAGAAUUCCACACGAUGUAUCAUUAAGAAUUCAUACCAAUUUAACCAGAACAACUAAAUGGGAUACUAAAUUAGGGUAUACACAUUGUCUUGGACCUAUGCUAAUUAAAUUAAAAAAUGUAUGCCCUAGUGGUGGUUUAGUUGGAAAACUUAAAGUUAUGAUUACUAGAACA